Long non-coding RNA from Camelus dromedarius (Arabian camel), 646 nucleotides. RefSeq lists it as uncharacterized. The record is from RefSeq and is a predicted model, not a curated record. The transcript is spliced from 3 exons. Lineage: Eukaryota; Metazoa; Chordata; Mammalia; Artiodactyla; Camelidae.
CGGGACGCGGGGGUUGCAGUUCCGGUUGGGAGGGGCGGGGCCCAGCGCUGUGAAGCCGAGAGGGAGGCUGUAGUCCAUAGGGCAGGAACUCAGGAAAGAAAGAUGGAUGUGAACUGGGGGAAGCAAGAACAAACUGAAAACUGGGGUUGAGCUGGACAUCAACAGGGUGGACAGGAACUCAGGAGCUGGAGAAGCUGAUGGAGGAGAAUUGGUGGGAGCUAGAGUUGCUGUAAGUCUGGCAGUUGCCCCACACUAGCUGGGUGAGACAGCAGAUAACAGACAACUAUAACACUUGCUGGUGUUCUGCACUGACAGUACAAGUUUUAAAAGAUGGCUGCUCUUCGUUUCUGCCUUCUAACUCUCAUGUAAAAAAAUCCCUCAUGGUCCUGGAGCUAUGUGUUGGGCAACAGUUCUUCAUGGUUCUCUCAUUUUCCUGUACACCUUGAGAGCAAAGACAAUGUCAGACUUUAUUCUGAAACAUCUUUUAAAAAAAUAUUUCUCUUGAAAGAAAGAGGGUUUUCCAUUGGGACAGAGUGCAGAUUUGUUUACUUUCUGGUAUAAUAAGACAAUAAUAUGAUAAUAUCACCUUCCAAGGCAAAGGUUGGACGGAUUUGCUUGCAGUCCAUAAUAAAAGAUUGGGAGUUUU